RNAcentral lists this small nuclear RNA (122 nucleotides) under Pogona vitticeps (central bearded dragon). RNAcentral describes it as "U2 spliceosomal RNA (ENSPVIG00000001814.1)". The stretch from base 1 to 90 matches the Rfam family "U2 spliceosomal RNA". Rfam says of the family: U2 is a small nuclear RNA (snRNA) component of the spliceosome (involved in pre-mRNA splicing). The record is from RNAcentral. Lineage: Eukaryota; Metazoa; Chordata; Lepidosauria; Squamata; Agamidae.
AUUGCUUCUCGGCCUUUUGGCUAAGAUCAAGUGUGUGUAAUUUUUUAAAAAAAACUGCUUCCAAGGAAGCACCAAACAAGUGUAAUCCCAGUUACAGUAUUAUUUAUUGCUACUUAAUUUUG